This 454-nucleotide ribosomal RNA is filed under the name uncultured bacterium. RNAcentral's name for it is "bacterial SSU rRNA". It matches the Rfam family "Bacterial small subunit ribosomal RNA", at positions 9 to 506 of the family's 1533-position model. The record is from RNAcentral.
GAGUUUGAUCCUGGCUCAGGAUGAACGCUGGCGGCGUGCCUAAUACAUGCAAGUCGAACGAAGCCUUCGGGCUUAGUGGCGGACGGGUGAGUAACACGUUGGUACCUACCCCGAAGUGGGGAAUAACUGCCCGAAAGGGUGGCUAAUACCGCAUAAUACCGCAAGGUUAAAGCAGUAAUGCGCUUCGGGAGGGGCCUGCGUCCCAUUAGCUUGUUGGUAGUGUAAUGGACUACCAAGGCGACGAUGGGUAGCUGGAUCGAGAGGUUGACCAGCCACACUGGGACUGAGAUACGGCCCAGACUCCUACGGGAGGCAGCAGUAAGGAAUCUUCCACAAUGGACGAAAGUCUGAUGGAGCAACGCCGCGUGCAGGAUGACGGCCUUCGGGUUGGUAAACUGCUUUAUAUGGGUAAGAGUAUGACGGUACCAUAUGAAUAAGGACCGGCUAACUACGU